This is a non-coding RNA of Sus scrofa (pig), 1127 nucleotides long. The record is from RefSeq and is a predicted model, not a curated record. Lineage: Eukaryota; Metazoa; Chordata; Mammalia; Artiodactyla; Suidae.
CCAACAGUCCCUGUGCCUUGAACUUCUUUUGAUCUGUUUACAGUGGCACAAGUCUCUGUGGGACAGAGAUUUCUUGGCAGCAGAGCAAAGUUAUUUAAAGUCCCCUUUAAAAUACCUGGAUCUUGAUGGAAACAGAGCAGUGUCAUGGCUGGGACCGGAGAGGUGCCUGAGAAGGGCAGGGAUACACAAGCGGGAUCGAUUCCAGGCUUUUCAGAGACAUCUGCAUCAGGCCACGUUCAGGAUGGGAAGACACUGUCUGACCUUGGCAAUGUGGAGGGGCAGCCUCGUGCUCACAGGGGGCAGGCGUUGGCGAAUGCUGCAGUGACUCGGGAUGUGGGGAGCCUUGUCCACUUCGUCCUCUAAUCUCAUCACUCGGAGAAGAGAGCUGAGAGCUGGGCUGCACAUGGCAGAGAGAAUGAUGGAUAUCACCACUGGGAGAGAAGGAUCAGAAGGUGCAUCUGUGCUGGCCCAACGCCCACACCUCUGCCCAAUGUGAUAUAUCGAGACCAGCGUGAGGGGGACAGGCUGAUGCUCACUGCACAUCUGGCUCAGAGUGGGGCCUCCGGAACAUUGCAUGCUGGUAACAUCUCCCUGGGGAAGAAAAUGCUUGGUCCUCUGGGAAAGGAAUGUCUGUUCUCUGGGCUGGUAGGUAUUGAGAGGUAAGGUCUGCAAAGUCCAUCCCCAUGUUCUGAAUUCACAAAAUCCAGAAUUUUCAAAAUCCAGUGUGGUUUCCUGCAGCCACACUCUGUUCUGCUUGCUUCCUUUCUCCCAACAGGUUUACUAAUCCUUCUGUCCCUGACCCUGGGCUGAGCACAUGGCAUCUGGAAAUAAGUUGUGACCACUGCCUUGUCCAGUGAGGACCAUGCCAGACAAAUAGAUGAUCACCACGUCACCACGCGGUACUGGCAAGGUCUGGAAGGUGCAUCCAGUUAUGCCUGGGUAGGGAGGGGCUCAGCGUUUCUCCUCCAGAUGCUCAGUUCCAUCCACAGUACCAAGGCCUCAGAGCUUGGAAAGGUCUAGGAAAAUGUUUAGAAAAAGAGCCAUGGGAUUUAAAUACAAACAGAAAGCUGCAACAUAAAUGCAACAUGAAGCUGAUGCAUGUUUAAUUAAAUGUCUACAAAAUGUAA